UUUAGUCCUUGUGCUUCGAUGGAACCAAAUUCCAGUAUAUGGAUUGCAAACCUUUUCUGCUUUGGGUCUUAAGUGAAUGAAAGGGUGGGUUAAAAAACCAUGGCCAGCCGCCCACAAGAAAUCUCGCCCGUAGGGUACUGAUGGGAUGCUAGCUGCCGGUAUACACGAAAAACGUGGUGUAGAGCACGAACAAGAUGUGCUAACACAUAUCCCUUAUAUUUAUUGGUUCUACAGAAGAUGUAUGAUAAAGAGCUGGCAUUAAGU
RNAcentral lists this long non-coding RNA (264 nucleotides) under Hordeum vulgare. RNAcentral's name for it is "long non-coding RNA (HVUL_LNC000897)". Lineage: Eukaryota; Viridiplantae; Streptophyta; Magnoliopsida; Poales; Poaceae. The record is from RNAcentral.